This 465-nucleotide ribosomal RNA is filed under the name uncultured bacterium. Its description in RNAcentral is "partial 16S ribosomal RNA". It matches the Rfam family "Bacterial small subunit ribosomal RNA", at positions 338 to 795 of the family's 1533-position model. The record is from RNAcentral.
CCUACGGGAGGCAGCAGUAGGGAAUCUUCCACAAUGGGCGAAAGCCUGAUGGAGCAACGCCGCGUGGGUGAAGAAGGUCUUCGGAUCGUAAAACACUGUCGUCAGAGAGGAAAGUGCGGGGGAGUAACUGCUCACGUUUCGACGGUAUCUAACCAGAAAGCAACGGCUAACUACGUGCCAGCAGCCGCGGUAAUACGUAGGUGGCAAGCGUUAACCGGAGUUAUUGGGCGUAAAGGGAACGCAGGCGGUCUGUUAAGUCGGAUGUUAAAGCCUUGGGCUUAACCGGGGCAGUGCAUUGGAAACUGGGAGACUUGAGUGCAGAAGAGGAGAGUGGAAGUCCAGGUGUAGCGGUGAAAUGCGUAGAGAUAUGGAGGAACACCAGUGGCGAAAGCGGCUCUCUGGUCUGUGACUGACGCUGAGGUGCGAAAGCGUGGGUAGCAAACAGGAUUAGAUACCCGGGUAGUC